Molecule: ribosomal RNA, 253 nt
Filed under: uncultured bacterium
Lineage: Bacteria
Description: partial 16S ribosomal RNA
Rfam family: Bacterial small subunit ribosomal RNA
Source: RNAcentral
UACGUAGGGGGCAAGCGUUAUCCGGAUUUACUGGGUGUAAAGGGGGCGCAGACGGCGCGGCAAGUCCGGAGUGAAAUCCCAGGGCCCAACCUGUGGCCUGCAUUUGAAACUGUGUUUCUUGAGUACUGGAGAGGCAGACGGAAUUCCUAGUGUAGCGGUGAAAUGCGUAGAUAUUAGGAGGAACACCAGUGGCGAAGGCGGUCUGCUGGACAGCAACUGACGCUGAGGCGCGAAAGCGUGGGGAGCAAACAGG